GUUGGCGGCCAUACUGCGGGUGAAACACCCGGUCUCAUUCCGAACCCGGAAGUUAAGACCCGCGAGGGCUUAGGUUGCACUGCGCUCUGCGUGGAGCACCUUGCAAGCUGCCAACC
This 116-nucleotide ribosomal RNA is filed under the name archaeon. The record is from RNAcentral.